GGAACCCACAGAUACAGAGAGCCCACUCCCCAGUUCACUUAUUCUAAAUGUAAUUCCUACUACAGAAAAGAUAACAGAUAUAUUUAGGUCAGUUUGUAUUAAAAAAAACACAAACUAUUGAUUCCAAUUUGAUGAGCAUUGACAGUGUUACUUGCAUAGCUAUUUAACAGAGGAAAGAAACAGUUAUAGGAAAAAACAUUGAAAGAGCCUCACACUGAACUACCUCCUCGUGCUGACUUCCAGUGAUGACAACACUCAUCCUUUUAUUUCAGUAAUAAUUUAAUGCUUUGUUUUGUGGACCAGACUCAUUGCAAUGUUAGAACUGAAAAGGUAAAGGAUAACUCUGGUCAACCCUGUAUAUGCUAUUGCCAGUAAAUUUUCUUUUAAUAUAGCCUGUGCCAAAUUUUAGAAAAUAUAAUAAUAAUUGAAGGUAGUAUGCAAGCAGUAGCUUCUGUAAUAAAAUAAUUUUACAUUGUGUGUCAUGAUGUAAACCUUACUGCUUGCUUUGAUUUAUAUGCAAAUAUUUCUUAUUCUUAUAGUUUACAUUGCUUUCAGCUGCUAUCUUAGUUUUUGUGCUCUAGACUAUCUCCAUUUUUUCUAUGAUUACCAUAAUAAAAUGGGCAAGUAGGAAAAAUUAUGGUUACUUCCUGUCUCAUUUUGUGUAUUUGUUUCAGUAGCAGUACCAAUCUUUUUCAACCAGUGUUGUCGAUGUCAUGAAUUUACAGUAAACCCGUGGAAUUUACAUAUAUAAAACAUAGAUGUCAUGCUGGUGAAUUCAACUUACAAGCCAUGGAAUAGAACUGUUGCAGUGAGGCUAUUAGUUUCAGGUAAUUUAAAUCUCAGUGGGAACCAAGAAGUGGAUUUUGAACUAAUGUAUUUUUGAAGUUUUCAAAUAUAGGAGAUUGUAAUACUCUGUAUAAAGAAAAAAAAGUUGGUGAUUUUUUUAAGGUAAAGAGGUUUAAAUUUAAUGAAAUGAUUAAAAGUAAUUUCAAGAUUUAUUUCCUCUUUAUAAAAAUUGUUUUUUGUGGCUUAGAGGAAAUUGGUUAAAAAUUUAAGCUCCUUUUUGAUAUAACACCAAAUAGAACUAAACAUAGCUUUGAACAUUGGGAACUUUUCCUAAUGGUAGGUAACAAGACGAAAUUGUUGGUGAGGACUUACCUACACAGGGCCUGGUGUAAUUUAUUCACCAAUACCAUUGUUAAUAAGGAUCACCCAUAAGAGAUCUUUAUACUUAAUUUUCUGUCAGGUAAAAUUAUAUUUUGAUAAAAUGUUUCUCUAAUUUUAGAACUUGAAAGAAAAUUGAGAACAGUGUUGAAGUAUAGUUAGUAGUAAGACUCAUCGUUAAUUUUAAGACUCUGCCACUCAGGUGUGAAAAUUGUUAGCUCCUCUUCACACAUUUGUUUUCUAACAACAAUAAUGGCGUGUAAUGGUAGAGAUAACCAGUUUGCUCUUCCUCAGCACCACCAUAUCACUUCCCGCAAACUUCUCACACCUUUAGCAUGAAAUUUUAAUGAUUUGUUUAUUUCUCUGUCUCUUUCAGGAGGCUGUGGGACCCUGGAAGGUUGGGACUGUAUUUAUAUUUCUAUUUCAAGCAGAUUUUGCAUAGUGCUUGAUACUUGAUAGCUGGUAAACUCUAGGAAGGCAUCGACAACAUAUAUUUAAAGUAUCUGGCAAGACUUAGGGGCCUACAAUCCUGCCUUUCCAGAAUAUUUUGAGGAAAAUUGACUAACUCCCCUAGUAUUACCCAAGGAAGCAUAUAAAUUGUGCAAGUCAAAUUAUGGGUCACAGAAAAUUGGAAUGUCCAUGAUGGAAUAGUUACUAUCUUUUUGUUUCUAAUAUUUCAGGCAGUGCUAUUUCCAAGAGGAUUGUUUGUUAUUGUGUCCUUCACACAAAGGCUGUGUUUUUUAUAUUCCUUUUACGCCUAUUACCUGACAUUGCCAGAAAUAGAACAGAUACUCAUUAAAAUGUUCAAGGAAUGAUCAGGGUUUACUGGUUUAUUCCCAGCACACCCUCCCAACUUUCCUACUAGAUGAUAAGCAGCUUGAGGGUGGGACCCAGGUAUUAGUCAUUUUAAAAUUAUCCUUUGUCCCACAUUCAGAACAGUUCCACAUGUAUAGUCAGAGCUUCCCAAGACCACUCUCACAUUUGGAGAUAUGCUAGAAGGCCUCACAGGUCUCAGAAUAUAGUUCUAUUCAUGGCUAAGAUUUACUACAGUGACAUAGUGGGGAUACACAACCACAUCAUAAGGGAGGGAGAACUACAGGUGGAUUCUGGAGGGAUCCAUGGGCAGGCUUCCUUAUGAUCUCUCUCUCUCUCUCCUCCCUCCCAUGUGUUCUCUUCCCUCAUCAGUGAAAAUGAAGCAGUAUAUCUGCAAUGUUCCUGCCCAGGGAAGCCCAUUAGGGAGUCAGUGCCCAAGGUUUUUAUGGGGGGCUUGUCAUGUAGGCACUAUAUUUAGCAGGUACCAAAAUUUCAGAUGCCCCAAAGUACAGCAAGCACUCAGGCUGCACUCAUGGCAUAUGGAGGUUCCAGGCUAGGGGACUAAUGGGAGCUACAGCUGCUGGCCUAUGCCAGAGCCAUAGCAAUGCCAGAUCUGAGCCACAUCUGCGACCUAUACCACAGCUCAUGGCAACACCGGAUCCUUAACCCACUGAGUGAGGCCAGGGAUCGAACCCACAACCUCAUGGUUCCUAGUCGGAUUUGUUUUCGCUGCACCACAAUGGGAACGCCUUAAAUUCCUUUCUUGAGCUUUAUGAACGUGCCAAACAUACCUGUCUUCCCUAGUUCCACAACAGACCCAAAAAGCUUAUGCAGGUACGGUUGCUUAUAGUCAGUGUUCUCUUGCAAAUAUUGUAAACCAGGAUAUAGACUCUGUUGAUUCCUGGUUACAGAUAGUUAUUAUAAAUCCCCAUAAUAUUAUAACAGCUUCUAUUCCGAAUCUUUAGUUUUCUUUAUUAUGGUUGGUGGGUUGGGGUAUUCAUAGGACAAAAGCUAAGAAAGCAGUAAAACAAAGGAAAAAGUGAAGAUUCCCAAAAAUCUGGGCAUAUUGUUGUAGUAUCACAUGUCCUAAAAUGUUCAAAGCUUAAUUUCUGGGCUGUUUAGAUGAAUCCCUGAUAGACGGCAUCUCCAUGGCGAUGGAUAGAAAAUCACUUUUGAUAACUGCUUUAUGUAGUUUGCUGUGACAACAUGUUUUCUGGUUUUAAAGGUUUCUAUCAGUUGGGCUUUACGUUCCUGCUUUUUGGAAUACAAUUAUGACAGUUUUGUAUUCAGCAGAGGUUGCCUGAUCAGGAACUCAGUAUUCUGGCUGAUCUCAACUAUUUGGAGUAUGACCUGAAUUUCUGCCAAUUAAGGGGGAGGGGAGAGUCUUAUGUGUCUUAGAGAAUCGUGGGUGUCAACUCAGGCUCUCACCCAGUUA
Molecule: long non-coding RNA, 3412 nt
Filed under: Sus scrofa (pig)
Lineage: Eukaryota; Metazoa; Chordata; Mammalia; Artiodactyla; Suidae
Description: lncRNA (multiple genes)
Source: RNAcentral